RNAcentral lists this ribosomal RNA (237 nucleotides) under uncultured Candidatus Saccharibacteria bacterium. Its description in RNAcentral is "partial 16S ribosomal RNA". It matches the Rfam family "Bacterial small subunit ribosomal RNA", at positions 584 to 818 of the family's 1533-position model. The record is from RNAcentral. Lineage: Bacteria; Candidatus Saccharimonadota.
AAAGUGAAUAGUGAAAUCUGGAGGCUCAACCGUACAGGCUAUUAUUCGAACUCACUAACUCGAGAGUAGCAGAGGUAACUGGAAUUUCUUGUGUAGGAGUGAAAUCCGUAGAUAUAAGAAGGAACACCAAUGGCGUAGGCAGGUUACUGGACCAUUUCUGACACUGAGGCACGAAAGCGUGGGGAGCGAACCGGAUUAGGUACCCGGGUAGUCCCACGCCGUAAACUAUGGAUACUA